Molecule: ribosomal RNA, 432 nt
Filed under: uncultured bacterium
Lineage: Bacteria
Description: bacterial SSU rRNA
Rfam family: Bacterial small subunit ribosomal RNA
Source: RNAcentral
AUGAACGCUGGCGGCGUGCCUUAAGCAUGCAAGUCAAGGGGGCUCCGCAAGGAGCAACCGGCAGACGGGUGAGUAUAAGUAAGGAAUGUACCCCAAAGUGAAGGAUAGCUCGCCGAAAGGCGGGGUAAGCCUGCAUAUUAUCGUAAGAUCAAAGGACGUAACUGUCCGCUUUGGGAGCAGCCUUAUACCUAUCAGCUAGUAGGUAGGGUAAUGGCCUACCUAGGCUACGACGGGUAGGGGGAGUGAGAGCUUGACCCCCCACAAUGGAACUGAGAUACGGUCCAUACACCUACGGGUGGCAGCAACUGGGAAUAGUUGUCAAUGGACGAAAGUCUGAACACGCGACGCCGCGUGAGGGAUGAAGGCCUAUGGGUUGUAAACCUCUUUUGCCAAGACAUCGAAGCUUGGAGAAUAAGCACCUACUAACUACGU